Molecule: ribosomal RNA, 254 nt
Filed under: uncultured bacterium
Lineage: Bacteria
Description: partial 16S ribosomal RNA
Rfam family: Bacterial small subunit ribosomal RNA
Source: RNAcentral
CACGUAGGCACCAAGCGUUAUCCGGAUUUAUUGGGCGUAAAGAGCUCGUAGGCGGUUCGGUAAGUCGGGUGUGAAAACUCUGGGCUCAACCCAGAGAGGCCACUCGAUACUGCUGUGACUAGAGUGCGGUAGGGGAGCGGGGAAUUCCUGGUGUAGCGGUGAAAUGCGCAGAUAUCGAGAGGAACACCUGCGGCGAAGGCGGGUUGCUGGGCUGACACUGACGCUGAUGCGCGAAAGCUAGGGGAGCGAACGGG